UGGGGAAUAUUGCACAAUGGGCGCAAGCCUGAUGCAGCCAUGCCGCGUGUAUGAAGAAGGCCUUCGGGUUGUAAAGUACUUUCAGUCGGGAGGAAGGUGGUAAGGUUAAUAACCUUAUCAAUUGACGUUACCGACAGAAGAAUCACCGGCUAACUCCGUGCCAGCAGCCGCUGUAAUACGGAGGGUGCAAGCGUUAAUCGGAAUUACUGGGCGUAAAGCGCACGUAGGCGGUUGAUUGAGUCAGAUGUGAAAUCCCCGGGCUUAACCCGGGAAUUGCAUCUGAUACUGGUCAGCUAGAGUCUCGUAGAGGGGGGUAGAAUUCCAUGUGUAGCGGUGAAAUGCGUAGAGAUGUGGAGGAAUACCGGUGGCGAAGGCGGCCCACUGGAAAAAGACUGACGCUAAGGUGCGAAAGCGUGGGGAGCAAACAGG
RNAcentral lists this ribosomal RNA (429 nucleotides) under Chloroflexota bacterium. Its description in RNAcentral is "Chloroflexi bacterium partial 16S ribosomal RNA". It matches the Rfam family "Bacterial small subunit ribosomal RNA", at positions 355 to 776 of the family's 1533-position model. Lineage: Bacteria; Bacillati; Chloroflexota. The record is from RNAcentral.